This 361-nucleotide ribosomal RNA is filed under the name uncultured soil bacterium. Its description in RNAcentral is "bacterial SSU rRNA". It matches the Rfam family "Bacterial small subunit ribosomal RNA", at positions 26 to 373 of the family's 1533-position model. The record is from RNAcentral.
AGAGUGAACGCUGGCGGUAGGCCUAACACAUGCAAGUCGAACGGCAGCACAGUAGGAGCUUGCUCUUACGGGUGGCGAGUGGCGGACGGGUGAGGAAUACAUCGGAAUCUACCUUUUGGUGGGGGAUAACGUAGGGAAACUUACGCUAAUACCGCAUACGCCCUUCGGGGGAAAGCCGGGGACCAGCAAUGGCCUGGUGCUGAUAGAUGAGCCGAUGUCGGAUUAGCUAGUUGGUGAGGUAAUGGCUCACCAAGGCGACGAUCCGUAGCUGGUCUGAGAGGAUGAUCAGCCACACGUGGAACUGAGACACGGUCCGAGACGUCCGUACGGGAGGCAGCGAGUAGGGGAAUAUUGGACAAGU